CCGUGGGACACUUGCUGAGGAGGCCACUUCUCCUCACACCUUUCUCCUACCCCAGCCCUGUCCUCCAAGGUAAUCGGGCUUGACUUGGAAAGGAAAAGGCAUGAGGCUACCUGGAUUUCCUACAGAGAUUCAGCAUUGAGGGGUGAACCUUUUGGAACCCAUGAGAAGAGAGAACUGCAAGAACAGAGGAAAGUGUGACUGUCGCUUGUCAGAGGCCUCCCUCAUCUGACGUCUCAUUGACUGCUACCACAUGGCCAGCAGGUGAAACUGACAACAAUGAGUUCUUCUUGUGGAGCCAGAGAGGGAAGAGGGCCGGAACCCUGAAUGACCACGUGGAGGAAAGCUGUCCACCAACCAAAAAUGCCUGCCUUGGAACACCCAUUCAUUGCUGUGGGGGCAAGAAAUAAACUAGCAUGUCAAGCUACUGAAAUCUGGAGACCUAUUUGUUAUGGCAGCUGUGUUAUCCUGAUUAAUAGAACAUAUAUUUCAAAAAUGGAUUCAGUGCUUUCUU
Cercocebus atys (sooty mangabey) is the source of this 511-nucleotide long non-coding RNA. RefSeq lists it as uncharacterized. The record is from RefSeq and is a predicted model, not a curated record. NCBI's taxonomy places the organism in Eukaryota, Metazoa, Chordata, Mammalia, Primates, Cercopithecidae. The transcript has 3 exons.